CUUCGGAGGGGUAACUUCCUUCCCCGCCGCGUCCAGCAACUCUCGCAGGGAACGCACGGGUGCUGCUGUUCCCUUAAUCGGUCUGCCCGCGGUCAGCCCGAAGAAUCGCGCAACCCUGGACUCCGCCCUGGUCUCCGGCCACCACUCCGAGAAAAAGGCAUGAUGAAAUUUUACUGGGCUCAGCAAACGUGUCUCAGCCCGAUGGAGCAGAUACAGACCCUCUACUCAAUCGGGGAAGCUUCAAGUAAUCAAGAUGCCAUUUGGAGUGCAUGAAGGUCAGCACCCAGGAAGAAGACACCUGAACUUCUCUGGUGCUAAGGACACACACGAAAUCAGUGGCUUUGGCUCUGAAACAGUGAAUGACGGCCACAGCAGCUGGAGCUGAUUUCAGGGUUCACCUGAGCUGUGAUGUGUUCAUUCCUGCAGGCAGGUGGGGAGAGGGGAGGAGUCAACAAUGCAGGAGGGAAGCUGCCAGAAGUGCAGAGUUCACUCUGCUUUGCAUGCUUGCCUAAACCUGUUGGGUGGACUGUUGGGGCUGGCAGGCACCAAGAGGCCAUAGAACCAGUGCCCUGCUGCUGUAUUUGUCUGCUACUAGGAUGCUUCUGUGCUGAACUGAUUGGCUGGGGCUUUUCUCCUCCUCUUUAAUUUAUAGUGUACAAAAGAAAAUAAAUUCUCUCAAUACAAGCUGAAAAACACUCCACAUUCUACUAACAGCUCUGCCUCUUCUGCAGCCAUUUCUGUGUUUGCUGGAAACCCUACAACAGGUCACAAAAAGGUCUGAGGAAUUUGAUUGGCAUGUUUGCUCCUUGUUUAUGUGCCAUUUUCUGUG
Corvus hawaiiensis (hawaiian crow) is the source of this 829-nucleotide long non-coding RNA. RefSeq lists it as uncharacterized. The record is from RefSeq and is a predicted model, not a curated record. NCBI's taxonomy places the organism in Eukaryota, Metazoa, Chordata, Aves, Passeriformes, Corvidae. The transcript is spliced from 2 exons.